This is a long non-coding RNA of Zalophus californianus (California sea lion), 411 nucleotides long. RefSeq lists it as uncharacterized. The record is from RefSeq and is a predicted model, not a curated record. Lineage: Eukaryota; Metazoa; Chordata; Mammalia; Carnivora; Otariidae. The transcript has 3 exons.
GCAGGCGCAGUGGCUAGGCAGGCUGGAGAACGGGGUCCACGGGGAGUGGGCUGGGCUGAGAGGCCAGUGAAGCGAGUCCGCGGGCCGCAAGCGCCGGGGGUGGAGGCCCGGUUAAGCUAUUUCAGAUAAUACCAGGAUGUUUUUGCACGCCACACAGGCAUCCCUUGGGCUCCUACUCCAUGCUAGACUCUGCUGGCCACUGAGGAUAUAGUUAAAAAGAUGGAAUAAAAUAAUGCCUGCCGUCAAAGACCUCCUCGUGGGUUGAAGCUUCGGAGCCAUUCUCGUGAAACCAGUUCUACUCCUCCUAGAGUUUGGGUGUAAUAUACCUCGGGGCACAGCCUCCAGGUGAAUUGUGCCCCAACCCUAAUGACCCAGACAUGCAUACAUGAACAUGAUCCAAUAAAAACUUAC